AUUGAACGCUGGCGGCAUGCCUUACACAUGCAAGUCGAACGGUAACAGGUCUUCGGAUGCUGACGAGUGGCGAACGGGUGAGUAAUACAUCGGAACGUGCCUAGUAGUGGGGGAUAACUACUCGAAAGAGUGGCUAAUACCGCAUGAGAUCUACGGAUGAAAGCAGGGGAUCGAAAGACCUUGUGCUACUAGAGCGGCCGAUGGCAGAUUAGGUAGUUGGUGGAAUAAAAGCUUACCAAGCCGACGAUCUGUAGCUGGUCUGAGAGGACGAUCAGCCACACUGGGACUGAGACACGGCCCAGACUCCUACGGGAGGCAGCAGUGGGGAAUUUUGGACAAUGGGCGAAAGCCUGAUCCAGCAAUGCCGCGUGCAGGAUGAAGGCCUUCGGGUUGUAAACUGCCUUUGUACGGAACGAAAAGCCCUGGGUUAAUACCCUGGGGUCAUGACGGUACCGUAAGAAUAAGCACCGGCUAACUACGUGCCAGCCGCCGCCGUAA
RNAcentral lists this ribosomal RNA (498 nucleotides) under uncultured bacterium. RNAcentral describes it as "partial 16S ribosomal RNA". It matches the Rfam family "Bacterial small subunit ribosomal RNA", at positions 30 to 523 of the family's 1533-position model. The record is from RNAcentral.